This is a long non-coding RNA of Saccostrea cuccullata (small rock oyster), 1438 nucleotides long. RefSeq lists it as uncharacterized. The transcript is spliced from 4 exons. The record is from RefSeq and is a predicted model, not a curated record. Lineage: Eukaryota; Metazoa; Mollusca; Bivalvia; Ostreida; Ostreidae.
GUCACCGAUUUUAAUAAAACUUUGGUAAAUUAAUACAUACUACUAGUCAAGUAUACUGGUAUAUGCAAAAUGACGGGAUACUGCUGUUUCCAUGGAAAGCAGCAAGUCAUACUUUUGUCACAUUUGCUAGUAUUUCCUUUAUAAUGUAUGUAGCUGAAACUCAAAAACGCAGCGACACCAUUUAACAAAACUAAUCCUGUAAAAAGAUUAUAGAUAUAUAAGUUGACUUUUAAAAAAUUGGAGAUGUGUUAUUUAAAAUAAAGAAAAUAAAGCCUUGUAAAUUUGCUGUUUUUCAAGAGAAAAGUGCUAAAUUUCAUCAAGAGUUAUUUCCCUUGGUGUAACUCUUUUGUGUUUCCUGUGAAAAAAGGAAUGUUUUUUGCCAGCAGAAGACUUUCAGAUUGGUUUGCUGCUUCGUUUUUACUACAAAUUCCACUUGUCAGAAGAUGUAUUUAAUUUGAAUUCAGCUGAUUUGAAAAAUAAGGACAUAAUACUAAAAGAAUGUGGUAUUUUGCGGUCCAGUUCUGAAAAUAGGCAAAUUUGUUCCACACAUUUUUCUCUGCCGUUGAAACAAAACAGUGACUGAGUGAUGAACGAAGAAGAAAUUAGGUGUCAAGUGCCAUUCCUUAUUUUAAAAAAUCUGGUGAAUAAUAAUGCAUUCCAUGAAAAGUAGAAAUCCAACAGACCGAUCCCUGUCAAUGGUCACAGGUGUACUCAAAAUACACAGAGGCUAGAGGACUUGUUCUUCCUCUCUAUGCACCAGCCUGUCUUCUGAAGUUGAAUGGUCAAACAAUAUGAAGAGGAAGAAAAUCUAGCUUGCAAUCAAAACACAGAAAAUAUGAUCAGGCUUGCUCAGUCACACCUUAGUGAACAUGAAGAGCUACUUCAUUCAAGGCCAUGAUAUGUUAUAACAGCUGAUUCAAUGAAAGCGCAAGGUUUUUGAACAGUCUCUGAAAAUUGUCAAGUAAAGAGUCAGAGUGGUUGUAGAUGCAUGCACAGAAAAUGAAGAAAAAACUCUACUGAAACCAUGGCUUAGAUAUCAACCUAAAAUAACUUCUCUUCUCAAUUACAUCUCUUUCCCAAGUAUUCCAAAGGAGGAUCUUUUUCAAAUUCAAAGUCAAGUACACUGUAUCACAGGGAGCAUGUGAGAUUGUGAAACAGUCUGCCUACAAAAAUUAAAAGGGAGGAAAAUAUCUACACAUGAACCAAAGAUGGUUGCACACUAUUGUUCUCUGUAUAUUUUCCCUAUGGUUUUCAUGUACAGUCUUCUGCGUGAUUGUUAAGUUUGGUGUAGUAGUAGAAUUCUCCUUACCUUGUGUAGAAGUUUUACAAUUUAAAUUCUGAUAUAAAAUCCUGUUUUUAAUGGGCCACUCUCCUUGUAAACAGAUUGAUGUCAAAAUAUCUCUCAACAUUGAAUACUUAUCAAAUUGUUUAACCGAAU